Molecule: ribosomal RNA, 253 nt
Filed under: uncultured bacterium
Lineage: Bacteria
Description: partial 16S ribosomal RNA
Rfam family: Bacterial small subunit ribosomal RNA
Source: RNAcentral
UACGUAGGUGGCAAGCGUUGUCCGGAUUUACUGGGCGUAAAGAGCGCGCAGGCGGUCGUUCAAGUCGCGUGUGAAAGCCCCCGGCUCAACUGGGGAGGGUCACGCGAUACUGAUCGACUCGAAGGCAGGAGAGGGUAGUGGAAUUCCCGGUGUAGUGGUGAAAUGCGUAGAUAUCAGGAGGAACACCGGUGGCGAAGGCGGCUCUCUGGACGGUGACUGACGCUGAGACGCGAAAGCGUGGGGAGCAAACAGG